GAUGAACGCUAGCUACAGGCUUAACACAUGCAAGUCGAGGGGAACAGUGAGGGCAGCUUGCUUUCCUUUUCGAGCACCGGCGCACGUGUGAGUAACGCGUAUCCACCCUGCCACCAACUUGGGACUAAGCUAGCGAAGGUAAGACUAGUACACUAUAAUCUCCUCAGAUGUCAACUGCCGAAGACUAAUUAUUUAGAGGUUUACGGUGGGGAUGCGUCUGCUUAGCUUGGUGGCGGGGUAACGGCCCACCAAGGCAACGAUCAGUAGGGGUUCUGAGAGGAAGGUCCCCCACAUUGGAACUGAGACACGGUCCAAACUCCUACGGGAGGCAGCAGUGAGGAAUAUUGGUCAAUGGGCGGAAGCCUGAACCAGCCAAGUAGCGUGCAGGAUGACGGCCCUAUGGGUUGUAAACUGCUUUUAUACAGGAAUAAAGUUAGCCACGUGUGGUUAUUUGUAGGUACUGUAUGAAUAAGGACCGGCUAAUUCCGUGCCAGCCGCCGCGGUAA
RNAcentral lists this ribosomal RNA (506 nucleotides) under uncultured bacterium. Its description in RNAcentral is "partial 16S ribosomal RNA". It matches the Rfam family "Bacterial small subunit ribosomal RNA", at positions 28 to 523 of the family's 1533-position model. The record is from RNAcentral.